Molecule: small nuclear RNA, 101 nt
Filed under: Fasciola hepatica (liver fluke)
Lineage: Eukaryota; Metazoa; Platyhelminthes; Trematoda; Plagiorchiida; Fasciolidae
Source: RNAcentral
GAAAAUAUGGAAUGCCUUACGAUUUUGCGUGUCAUUCGUGCGCAGGGGCCAUUCUAAUCUUCUCUGUAUCGUUCCAGUCUUGGUACCACCGACGCGAGUAC